This 253-nucleotide ribosomal RNA is filed under the name uncultured bacterium. RNAcentral describes it as "partial 16S ribosomal RNA". It matches the Rfam family "Bacterial small subunit ribosomal RNA", at positions 524 to 776 of the family's 1533-position model. The record is from RNAcentral.
UACGUAGGGUGCGAGCGUUGUCCGGAAUUAUUGGGCGUAAAGAGCUUGUAGGCGGUUUGUUGCGUCUGCCGUGAAAAUCCGGGGCUCAACUCCGGACUUGCGGUGGGUACGGGCAGACUAGAGUGUGGUAGGGGAGACUGGAAUUCCUGGUGUAGCGGUGAAAUGCGCAGAUAUCAGGAGGAACACCGAUGGCGAAGGCAGGUCUCUGGGCCACUACUGACGCUGAGAAGCGAAAGCGUGGGGAGCGAACAGG